RNAcentral lists this non-coding RNA (3297 nucleotides) under Pan troglodytes (chimpanzee). Lineage: Eukaryota; Metazoa; Chordata; Mammalia; Primates; Hominidae. The record is from RNAcentral.
GCACCCGGGAGGAAAGGCGAGGCUCUGCAUCUAGAUUUACCUCGUUCUCUUUUGUCUCCGCUUUUUUUUCACAUUUCCUUGCGCCCCUGGCCCUUGAGCGACAAAAAGGGGAAGCCAAGGCUGGCCCGAGGAACGGAGAGGGCACAUGGCCUAGCCACGAGUGGAGCUUCUGCUCCGCCCGAAGGGAUGCGCUGGAGCGGCCUCUUCCUUCUGCCACGGUCUUUCUUUGCCAACUAAGAUGGGGUUUCACCAGGUUAGCCAGGCUGGUCUUGAACUCCUGACCUCAAGGGAUCCGCCUGCCUCAGCUUUCCAAAGUGCUGGGAUUACAGGUGGAGACUGGACCUCAGAAGAGGGAGUGGGUGCCCCGAGAACUCACAGCUAGUGGACAGCGGAAAGGGCAGGAGCCGGACCAAGGUGAGGACAGCGGAACUGAAGGCCGCUGGUUACCUCUCCUGCCCUCUGCUGGCCACAGUGGAGAAGACAGCCCCUCCCUCCUGCUCUGACCUGACAGUGUUCAUCCAUCGCCCUGUAUUAGCGAAGAACAACAUCAAGCUGGCUAGCAAGGAACUGUAUACAGGGUCCAGCUGGGUAUCACACUGGAUCUCACCCAAAGCUGAGAUGUGAUCCAGCUCCGUAUCACAAAGCAGAACGAAAAGGAUGUGUUUGGGCUGAGAGGCCAUACAUUGGCUCCGGCACGACGGGUGGCUUCUGCAGCACACAGGGCUUCGCCAGCACCCAGCUCCUGCAGCAUGGGCAGCUCCUGUGACAGCAGGCGCCCACAGCCUGCAAAGCGUCUCCAGUGCCGCCGCCUCAGUGAACCGCAACCAGCGGCACCUAGCAGCUUUCUCCGCCACCCUCUUCAGGUAGUUCUGUAGCAGCGCGUUUCUCAUGAGACACUUCCCUGUGAGCAGCUUUUUCUACCCUUGAGGAUGGAUUUCCAGCAAAUUCUGCCCAUGUGGUACCACAGCCACUUCUCUGCCAUUCAGUGAAACUGCCGUUGUGCCCUCUUCAAGGUCUGGAUCUAAGCCCAGGGACCAGGAAACCUCUUGCUUGAGUGCUGGAACUCAGGCCAGAAGGACAUCCCUGUAGAAGUUCUGCUGCGUGUGGUCCAGCCGUCCCCACUCCUCCCGGGAGAGGUACAAGGCUACAUCCUCGAAAGUCACUGGCAUCUGAAACAAUGUGAAACAUCCACUCUCCAGGACAUGAUGUGGACACGGUGGAGGGACACCAUGGCAUGAGAUGUGUGGUGAGACCCCGGAGUCCCAACCCACUAUCUCGAGUGAGGCCUGCCACUUCCAUCUGAUGGGGAAGCGGGUGAGCCACCCAAGGCCUUCUGGGGAGUUGAGAAAGAACAAAGACCAAGAGGUAUUUUCAGGGACCACAGUUAAGACUUAGGAUGUCCAUGCAGCCCCCAUCCUCAGCUGAGACCUCGGAGGACGGUUCCCAAUGGCUCCCAGUGAGAGGCCCUGUGUCUCUAAUUCCUGCUGCUUCUCCUCCAGCUUUGGCCCAGGCCUGACCAUGGGCCUUGAGCCUGGACAAUUCCAGCAACACUAGCAAGAGCCCCAGGCUUCAGGCUUGGCUGCAAGUGGGGCCAGCGGGGUCCUGGCUUUCACACAGAACCAGCAGAUGCAGGAAGGGCUGAGUACCAUGCAGGGGCCGGGGAAGGGCCACUCACCUGGGACCAGGCAGUGAGGAGCGCUGCAGCCAUCUGCCGGUCUCUGGUCCUCCCCUCUCGGGAAAGCACGGGGAUCCGGGGGGAGGGGAGGGCUGUGGGAGGAGAGAGGUCCUCACGGUGACCAGCUCAUCCUGCUGGACCUGCUGCUACUUCAGCUGCCUCAACCUCUACCCCUGGCCCGACCCAAGGACAGGGUCGGAUGGCUCUGACGCUGCCAGGGGGCUGUGGGCCAUGGGGCGAUAGCGUCCCCUGCUGGCAUAGAGACCCUCAGCCCCACCUGGACCUGGGCCAAGCCUCCACCUCCCCACAGCUGCCUCCCUGGGAAAGCGCCUCUUCCCCAUCCCUCUCCUACCUCCGCCAGGCAGGAAGAGAGCUUUCUCCUUAGAGCCGUGACUUAGGGGUGCCCAGCCCCAUGCACCUUGAGCCCCAUCCUCCUGCGAUGCCCCCUCGGAGUGUGGCUCUUCGGGCUCCAUCUUAAUGUGCAGUGACUCCUGAGCGUCCCCUGAAGGUACCGCCUCCCCCAGCUUAGAAGGCAUUUCCUGAUGAGGAUGUCCACGAUCUGGAACCUAGAAAGGACAGCCCCAUCAGCACCCAGAUGAGUGGGAGAGACACCCAGGGCUACAUGCCAGGGCGCUCCGGCAGGGUCGGAAACCAACAUGCAAGACGCAGCUUGAAGGACUGUCCUUGCUGCCUUCAUCCAGCUCACCCCAGCAAGGAGGGGCGGCAAGAGGAGGAAUAUUCACCAAGCCGCCUCCACAGUGCCGGUGGGCGUGGUGCCCAAGGGCAGCUACCCCUUCUCAGCUCCAGCCUCACACUGACCUCAGCAGUGUAGACUGCUGUCUAUUAGUGUAUGAAGAAACCAAGUGUAGUGGCUUGAAUAGUGUCCUCUAAGAAUCCGUGUCCUCCCUGAACCUCAGAACGGGACCUUAUUGGGGAAAAGGGUCUUUAUACAGGUAAGUUAAAGAUCUUGAGAUUAAAUCAUCGUGAAUUUAGAGUGAGCCUAAAAUCUAACAAUGACUUAUGUCCUUAUAAGAAUAGGAGAGGACACAGAGACACAGAGAAGGAAGCAGAGACUGGAGGGAUGCCCACACCAAGGACACCAGGAGCCCCCAAGGAGUUGGAAGAGACGGAGUUUCGCUCUUCUUGCCCAUGCUGGAGUGCAAUGGCGCAAUCUCAGCUCACCCCAACCUCCGCCUCCUGGGUUCGAGCGAUUCUCCUGCCUCAGCCUCCUGAUUACCUGGGAUUACAGGCAUGUGCCACCACACCUGGCUAAUUUUGUGUUUUUAGUAGAGACGGGGUUUCUCCAUGUUGGUCAGGCUGGUCUGGAACUCCUGACCUCAGGUGAUCCGCCCACCUCAGCCUCCUAAAAUGCUGGGAUUACAGGCGUGAGCCACCGCGCCCAGCCUAUAAAAUUGAUUCUUUAAAAAAAAUUAGAACAUUUACCGAUGCUGGACCCACCUUCCCCACCUUCAGGGUCCACUUUCUAGGUGGCCACAGUGCCUGCUUGGCCCCUGUAGCAUUUGAGUUUGCAACUCUGCUUUUGGAGUUAAACAUGUUUUAGGAGUCCUGGGAUUCUGAUUGAUGCUAUUGUCAAUUUGAUGAAAGAGAAAUUACUCCUGGGA